GUAAAACCAGCAUAUGGUUUUGAAGUUAGAGAAAUCUAUAAAGUAAGUGUUUUCUUUUAUUUGGAAAUUUAUUAAUAAUUAAUUGGUUUCUAGAGUUAUAAAGUAAUUUAAUUAAAUUAGAAAAAGAAAAUAAAGAAAUGAAGUGUUAAGAAUGCUACCACUCCCUACAAAAUGCUAAGAUAAGAUGUUAAAUGGAGAAAAAAUGAGAUGGUAUUGAGAUGGCAAGGUGCUAAUAGUGUUACCACUCAUUUUAGCCUUAUAGACGUGAAUUGCAAUGAUCUCAUAUGACUCAACUUUGAGUGUUUUGAGGGGAAAGAAUGGAUUUGGAUGGAAGGUCAGGGGACAUUCUUAGAUUCCAUGAUGAAUUCUAAUAGAGAGAAAGAUAGGGUUCUUGCAAGAGGCUGAAAAACAAGGACCAAGUGGUGGCGAAGUUGGAUGAGACUAUUUGCUACAAAGAGAAGACCAUGGCCUUGAGCAUUGGCGGUGUUAGGGAACUUUGUUUUAUAGAGAGGGUAGGUUAGAAUUUUAUUCGGCAAAUGAAGCAGAGCCCGAAAAACAAGGUAAAUAUUUUAUAGGUUAUAACCAUCGAUCAAUGAAAAUAUAAUAUUUAUUGAUUUAUAAAGAUAUGUGUUUUGAGUAUCUGUUUGAUUGACGUUUUGUAUUUAUAAAUAUUUUAUAAAAUUCUACUUUUGUACGGUAUAAUAUAAAUUUUAAUAAAGUAAAAAAAAACAGAAUAAAUACAAAAAAUAAAUUCAAUGAAAAAAAAUCCUAUUGAUGAUAUAUUUUCAAAAUGAAGCGAUCCUUUAAUACAUCUAGUUUACUUAUUAGAAUCAAUUUUGGUAGGGAAAAACUCAUAAAAACCCUAUGUAUUAUACUCCAAUGAUUAAAAAAAACCCUUAUUUACUUUUUUUUUUUUUUUUUACAAAUUAACCAUUAUUUUUUCUAACCUUUGUUGUUUUCAUGCUUUGUAACUGGUUACCCUAAGCAACCGGUAACAUAGCUGACAUGGCUUUAAAAAGUGUAAAUGUAGUGAAUAACCAAAGAUAUGGACUUCAACGAACAAGACGAACCCAGGCCGACAUUUCAUUCGGUGCCCUAGUUUUCUGGAUCCUUCAAAAGAUUGUAAGCAUUUUUUAUGGAUGGGUGUUGAAUAGUUAACAGGUAUAAGCAUAAAAUCAAUGAGUUGCAAAAGGAGAAUAUAUAUUUGUACAAGGAUAAUAUGAUCCUGUCCAAGAAGACUAUGCAAUUGGAGAAUGAGAACCGGCCCUGCAAAAGAAAGUAAUCAAGCUAGAGGUGAUUGACAAAACAAAGGGGACUGAUAAAUUGAUGUUGUUUGCUGUAGUUCUCGUUGGAAUCUUCAUUUGGUUUAUAAUAGAUAUGUAAUAUGGGAAGUUAGGUUGUUAUUGUUCUGGUUACAACUUGUUAGUGUAAAAAGUUAGGAUGCUCUUUUGUAAUGUGUCCUUGUUAUGAAACUUUGGUCAUGUUUAUGUAAAAUUGUAGUUUGUGUUU
Non-coding RNA from Lactuca sativa (garden lettuce), 1509 nucleotides. NCBI's taxonomy places the organism in Eukaryota, Viridiplantae, Streptophyta, Magnoliopsida, Asterales, Asteraceae. The record is from RefSeq and is a predicted model, not a curated record.